This 497-nucleotide ribosomal RNA is filed under the name uncultured bacterium. RNAcentral's name for it is "partial 16S ribosomal RNA". It matches the Rfam family "Bacterial small subunit ribosomal RNA", at positions 28 to 507 of the family's 1533-position model. The record is from RNAcentral.
GAUGAACGCUGGCGGCGUGCCUAAUACAUGCAAGUCGAGCGAACAGACGAGGAGCUUGCUCCUCUGACGUUAGCGGCGGACGGGUGAGUAACACGUGGAUAACCUACCUAUAAGACUGGGAUAACUUCGGGAAACCGGAGCUAAUACCGGAUAACAUGUUGAACCGCAUGGUUCAACAGUGAAAGACGGUUUUGCUGUCACUUAUAGAUGGAUCCGCGUCGCAUUAGCUAGUUGGUAAGGUAUCGGCUUACCAAGGCAACGAUGCGUAGCCGACCUGAGAGGGUGAUCGGCCACACUGGAACUGAGACACGGUCCAGACUCCUACGGGAGGCAGCAGUAGGGAAUCUUCCGCAAUGGGCGAAAGCCUGACGGAGCAACGCCGCGUGAGUGAAGAAGGUCUUCGGAUCGUAAAACUCUGUUAUUAGGGAAGAACAAAUGUGUAAGUAACUAUGCACGUCUUGACGGUACCUAAUCAGAAAGCCACGGCUAACUACGUG